This 481-nucleotide ribosomal RNA is filed under the name uncultured bacterium. RNAcentral's name for it is "partial 16S ribosomal RNA". It matches the Rfam family "Bacterial small subunit ribosomal RNA", at positions 28 to 507 of the family's 1533-position model. The record is from RNAcentral.
GGUGAACGCUGGCGGCGUGCCUAACACAUGCAAGUCGAGCGAAGCACUUACUUUAGAUUUCUUCGGAAUGACGAAGUUUGUGACUGAGCGGCGGACGGGUGAGUAACGCGUGGGCAACCUGCCCUGUACAGGGGGAUAACAGUUAGAAAUGACUGCUAAUACCGCAUAAGCCCACAGCUUCGCAUGAAGCAGUGGGAAAAACUCCGGUGGUACAGGAUGGGCCCGCGUCUGAUUAGCUAGUUGGUAAGGUAACGGCUUACCAAGGCGACGAUCAGUAGCCGACCUGAGAGGGUGACCGGCCACAUUGGGACUGAGACACGGCCCAAACUCCUACGGGAGGCUGCAGUGGGGAAUAUUGCACAAUGGGGGAAACCCUGAUGCAGCGACGCCGCGUGAGCGAUGAAGUAUUUCGGUAUGUAAAGCUCUAUCAGCAGGGAAGAAAGUGACGGUACCUGACUAAGAAGCCCCGGCUAACUACGUG